RNAcentral lists this ribosomal RNA (253 nucleotides) under uncultured bacterium. Its description in RNAcentral is "partial 16S ribosomal RNA". It matches the Rfam family "Bacterial small subunit ribosomal RNA", at positions 524 to 776 of the family's 1533-position model. The record is from RNAcentral.
UACGUAAGUGGCGAGCGUUAUCCGGAAUUACUGGGCGUAAAGCGUGCGUAGGCGGUUUAGUGUGUGGGAAUUGAAAGCCCGGGGCUCAACUCCGGAUCCGGUUCCCAAACUGCUAGACUCGAGAGUAUCAGAGGAGAGCGGAAUUCCCGGUGUAGCGGUAAUAUGCGUAGAUAUCGGGAGGAGCACCAGUGGCGAAGGCGGCUCUCUGGGGUAUUUCUGACGCUGAGGCACGAAAGCCAGGGGAGCGAACGGG